UGCAUGGCAUCUGAGCUGGCUGAGCAGCAGAGCAGGACUGCGAGCAUGAUUGGGUGCACGCUGUUGCGCAUUGCUGAAUGGGUUGCAGUUGUUGAAUGCAUUGUUGUUGGCAUGAUUGUUGGCAUUGUGGUUCACAUUGAGCAGAUUGAGACACUGAAGCUUCUAGAAUGACAGCCACAACUUGUGGAGCAACAACUGGAAAUUGGCAUGCUG
Molecule: non-coding RNA, 213 nt
Organism: Caenorhabditis elegans
Lineage: Eukaryota; Metazoa; Nematoda; Chromadorea; Rhabditida; Rhabditidae
Source: Ensembl